UACGGGGGGGGCAAGCGUUGUUCGGAAUUACUGGGCGUAAAGGGCGCGUAGGCGGUUCGCUAAGUUGGAUGUGAAAACUCUGGGCUCAACCCAGAGCCUGCAUCCAAAACUGGCGGGCUAGAGUUCUGGAGGGGGUAGCGGAAUUCCUGGUGUAGCGGUGAAAUGCGUAGAUAUCAGGAGGAACACCGGUGGCGAAGGCGGCUACCUGGACAGAAACUGACGCUGAGGCGCGAAAGCUAGGGGAGCAAACAGGAUUAGAAACCCCCGUAGUCC
Molecule: ribosomal RNA, 273 nt
Filed under: uncultured bacterium
Lineage: Bacteria
Description: partial 16S ribosomal RNA
Rfam family: Bacterial small subunit ribosomal RNA
Source: RNAcentral